This 928-nucleotide long non-coding RNA is filed under the name Salmo salar (Atlantic salmon). Its description in RNAcentral is "lncRNA (ENSSSAG00000108412.1)". The stretch from base 212 to 265 matches the Rfam family "UnaL2 LINE 3' element". The record is from RNAcentral. Lineage: Eukaryota; Metazoa; Chordata; Actinopteri; Salmoniformes; Salmonidae.
CCAGUCAAAACUGUUCGCUGCUCUGGCACCCCAAUGGUGGAACAAGCUCCCUCACGACGCUAGGACAGCGGAGUCAAUCACCACCUUCCGGAGACACCUGAAACCCCACCUCUUUAAGGAAUACCUGGGAUAGGAUAAAGUAAUCCCCCCCCCCAAAAAAAGAUAUAGAUGUACUAUUGUAAAGUGGUUGUCCACUGGAUAUCAUAAGGUGAAUGCACCAAUUUGUAAGUCGCUCUGGAUAAGAGCGUCUGCUAAAUGACAUAAAUGUAAAAAUGUAAAUGUAGUGUAUGUUAGUCACACCAAUGUAGGCUUAGUCUAUGUUCAUCAAUGAAAAUCAAAUAAUUGGCCUACUGUAGCCCACGAAAAAUAUUAGCUUUCAACAUGUUCAAUAUUCACAUUUGGGUAUGUUUCCAUAUUUUUGGAUUGCACUGUUAAAGUUAUCUGUAAACAUGAAUGUGUUGAAGGAAAGUUUAGUCUUAAAGUGGUAUGACGAAAUAUCAACUUGCGCUCAUACAGAGAGAAAAUCAUAUUGUGCAUAUGCACUGAUUACACAACAGCUAGUAAAAUGCAUCUCAGAGGCAUACUCAUGUAAAGCUUUAAUAACAAACAUGUUCUUCAUCACGCGACCCUUGAAUAUUCAAAGUCGAGAACCUAAAAGCGUCGAGGAGGGAAAUACAUCUCUAUAUUUUAAAAGGUUUUGGCGAUAUAUUAUUAGCCUAGCUGUCUCUACGCUGAAAAAUCCAGUUCGGUUUUUCCGCGAAGCUCCAAAAAUCUAUGAAAUGUGUUUGCAUGUUCUUCUCCGCGAGCGGGGAUGUAGAGGUGGGAUUGCGAGAAUCGAAAGGUUGGAGAGCCCGCACGCUCAGCUUCCGAGAAAUUUGUAGGUUGACAGUGGAAGGAUGUGGAUGAGGGCUGAAGUUUAGACAGAGCA